GGAGAUAUUACAAGUCAUGAAUCAGUCAUGAAUCAGUCAUUAUUUUAUAGAUGGGCAGACUUUUUCUGAAGAGAGAUGGGCUUCAAAUAGAAACUUUCUACGACCGAAGCAAAUCCCAAACACGGGUUCGAGAAGGGGUGUUUAAGACGGAACCACUCCACCCAGCUAUGGUAAUUCCAAACCUAAAAGAAGUUCUUCCAAUCGUAUGGAGCAACGGUUUUUGUAUGUGUCCAAAAAGCAUUUCAGUCAAUAUGCCUUCCUUCUAUAUGUGUUUCUUAUCUGAUAAUCAAAUCAUUUACACAGACACUUCAUUUGGUGUCAACGACGAAUGCGUUUCGC
This is a long non-coding RNA of Contarinia nasturtii (swede midge), 339 nucleotides long. RefSeq lists it as uncharacterized. Lineage: Eukaryota; Metazoa; Arthropoda; Insecta; Diptera; Cecidomyiidae. The transcript has 3 exons. The record is from RefSeq and is a predicted model, not a curated record.